RNAcentral lists this unclassified non-coding RNA (391 nucleotides) under soil metagenome. Its description in RNAcentral is "partial contains 5.8S ribosomal RNA, internal transcribed spacer 2, and large subunit ribosomal RNA". The stretch from base 1 to 122 matches the Rfam family "5.8S ribosomal RNA", at positions 35 to 154 of the family's 154-position model. The record is from RNAcentral.
GAUGAAGAACGUAGCGAAAUGCGAUACUUGGUGUGAAUUGCAGAAUCCCGUGAACCAUCGAGUCUUUGAACGCAAGUUGCGCCCGAAGCCAUUAGGCCGAGGGCACGCCUGCCUGGGCGUCACACGUCGUUGCCCCCCCAUCUACUCCUUCGGGAUUGCAGGGGGCGGAUGAUGGCCUCUCGUGCGCCUCGUCGCGCGGUUGGCCUAAAUGCCAAGUCCUCGGCGACGCACGCCACGACAAUCGGUGGUUGCGAAACCUCGGUUGCCUGUCGUGUGCGGUCGUCGCGCAUCGAGGGCUCGAAAAAAUUGCCGGGCUUCGGCUCGACUUUCAACGCGACCCCAGGUCAGGCGGGGUUACCCGCUGAAUUUAAGCAUAUCAAUAAGCGGAGGA